CAACCCUGGUGGAAUUGGCAUAGAAUGUGGGGAACCGUGUUUAGGAGCAUCUGGAGUUUUUCUAGUACUAGGGGUAGAAUGCUGGGACUCGCAGUUCAGAAACAUCUGGAAAAUCGCCAUUUGAUAACGAGUGUUUUUACUUGAAUGCUGUUAGUAUACAGCAUACACAAGAGAAAAGAUAAAUAAGAGGCUUACUUCUCAGAUAGGGUUUAAACUGCUAGUAGUAUUCUAAUUAACUGCCAUUCCAGCCACCAAGGCAAAGAUUGCUCGUGCACAAGGGCAGUGAUUAAAGUGGUAUUGGCUGAAAGAGGGGAGCCGCAUGAGGUGGUAUGAUCUGUACUUUCGUGAGUAGACAUGUAAGACUGUAGCCUGGAUCCAUGAAUAUUCCUCACCCAAGGACCAGUAGGGGAGCUCGUGAAACAUAUUCCCUUAGAAGGGAAAAUCCUGCUCGUCCUCUGUGGAGGGACAGCUUAGUAUCUCUCCUUGAAGCUCCAUCCUUUGCUGUUCUGCUGUCAACAGUGCACAAGUAUUCACUUCUACACUGCACGCCCAGCAAAGCAAUUCAUGGCAUGUUCAGAAGGGUCUUGAGCCACAUUUUUCAACCCCAAGAAGCCUCAUCCUUCACCAGUUCUUACAGAAGGUCUAUAGAGAAUAGAGGACAAGGACACAAGAUCAAAUGCACAUGUGUACCACCCACAAGACCUCCACAGCAUCCAACUCCAAAACCUAGGCAGUUCUCAGAAAAGUCCAAGGGUCUGCAAUGGGCAGAGAUGCAAGUGAACAUCCCAGAAGAAAUACACUGCUAUGGGGUGCUGCAGAUGGAACUCCAUUCUAACUCAACCAACUUGAAGGAACCUGUUCACUGUCAUCUGCCACUCUCAGGAUGGGUGGCUGCGAUGGGAAAACCUGAAAGAUGAGACAUGCGCCU
This 928-nucleotide long non-coding RNA is filed under the name Salvator merianae (Argentine black and white tegu). RNAcentral describes it as "lncRNA (ENSSMRG00000009207.1)". The record is from RNAcentral. Lineage: Eukaryota; Metazoa; Chordata; Lepidosauria; Squamata; Teiidae.